UCGGGAAUUUUGGGCAAUGGGCGAAAGCCUGACCCAGCAACGCCGCGUGAGGGAUGAAGUAUUUCGGUAUGUAAACCUCGAAAGAAUGGGAAGAAUAAAUGACGGUACCAUUUAUAAGCUCCGGCUAACUACGUGCCAGCAGCCGCGGUAAUACGUAGGGAGCAAGCGUUGUUCGGAUUUACUGGGCGUAAAGGGCGCGUAGGCGGCGCGGUAAGUCACUUGUGAAAUCUCUGAGCUUAACUCAGAACGGCCAAGUGAUACUGCUGGGCUAGAGUGCGGAAGAGNCAACCGGAAUUCUUGGUGUAGCGGUGAAAUGCGUAGAUAUCAAGAGGAACACCUGAGGCGAAGGCGGGUUGCUGGGCCGACACUGACGCUGAUGCGCGAAAGCCAGGGGAGCAAACG
This 402-nucleotide ribosomal RNA is filed under the name uncultured bacterium. Its description in RNAcentral is "bacterial SSU rRNA". It matches the Rfam family "Bacterial small subunit ribosomal RNA", at positions 355 to 774 of the family's 1533-position model. The record is from RNAcentral.